RNAcentral lists this ribosomal RNA (290 nucleotides) under uncultured bacterium. RNAcentral's name for it is "partial 16S ribosomal RNA". It matches the Rfam family "Bacterial small subunit ribosomal RNA", at positions 29 to 334 of the family's 1533-position model. The record is from RNAcentral.
AACGAACGCUGGCGGCAGGCCUAACACAUGCAAGUCGAACGUGAAGCUAGACUUCGGUUUAGUGGAAAGUGGCGCACGGGUGAGUAACGCGUAGGAAUUUACCCAGCAGUACGGAAUAACCAUCGGAAACGGUGGCUAAUACCGAAUACGCCCUCCGGGGGAAAGAUUUAUCGCUGUUGGAUGAGCCUGCGUCGGAUUAGCUUGUUGGUGGGGUAAAAGCCUACCAAGGCUACAAUCCGUAGCUGGUCUGAGAGGAUGACCAGCCACACUGGGACUGAGACACGGCCCAG